GCUCUUUGUUUUUUGAAAUGAUGCUUUUAUGAGAUAGAGCUUUUUUAGAUAAUGCUUUUUUAGAUAAUGCUGGGGAAGGUUUUCCGGUUUAUCUCGGAGGGCUUGUAGCUCAGUUGGUUAGAGCGCGCGCUUGAUAAGCGUGAGGUCGGAGGUUCAAGUCCUCCCAGGCCCACCAAUUUACCUAUCCAUUUGCCUUUAUCCGUUUAUUUGCCGAUUUAUCGGUCCAUUGAAUUUAAGUGUUGGUAGCAGUUUUUAUAAUGAUGAGAAAUCAUGCUUAUAAAAAAACUCCUUAUAAAAGGCUUGUUUUUAAAAUGUGACGCUUAUCCAUUUCGCUUAGGCAAGAGAAACUUCAAGCGGUUCAAAUGCAAAAGGCUUUAAAUUUUGCAAAACAAUUUGAAUUUUAAAGUGAUCCAAGUUCGUGAUCUCGAAUUUAAAAGUUUCGAAUGCUUUAUCCUUUUUUGGGGGCCGUAGCUCAGCUGGGAGAGCACCUGCUUUGCAAGCAGGGG
Molecule: unclassified non-coding RNA, 506 nt
Filed under: uncultured Bartonella sp.
Lineage: Bacteria; Pseudomonadati; Pseudomonadota; Alphaproteobacteria; Hyphomicrobiales; Bartonellaceae
Description: partial 16S-23S ribosomal RNA intergenic spacer
Rfam family: tRNA (bases 99-172)
Source: RNAcentral